UUCAUAUAUAUAUGUACAAAUUUAAACAAUUUUUUUAUCUAUAAGAUAUAAGAAUAAAAAUUAUAAAAUUAUAAUUGGAGCAAACCAAAGCAAGGAUUAGCCUCCUCUGGGAUAUCUUCGUUUUCAGAUUCGUUGUGUAUUUACUGCAAGAUCUCUGUCUAUAGAUGAUCAGUCAAAGGUUUGAAGAGUACCUUUGUAAAUUGAGGAUGUCCCUCUUAAAAUGGAGGGUCACUUGAGAUUAAACUCCUUCAUACUUUUUAGUAAAAAAAGUAAGCCUGACUUGCGCUUAAUUUUUAAGAAAAGGUUAGAAAAAUUAUUGCUAUUGCCCAUCAAACCAUAUAGCAAAAUCUGCCAAAAAUUAAAUAAAAAUCCACAAAAAUCAUUUCUAAAAGAAUGAAUUAAGAAACUAGGAUUAAAACAAUUGAAAGGUGAAGACUCUCCACAAAAUUUUUCUUAUUCCUACACCAGUGCAGCAACAGUGCGAAAACCUUCAAAGUAUUUAUACUUUGACUAUUCCUUUCAGCAGAAUUUUCAGCAGAAAGACACAUACAUAAAGUUUAUAUUUAGCAGUAGCAGCAUAUCCACACAUAUCACAGGGAUAGCGAACCCCUUCAUGGAUGCUCUUCUUGUGACUCUUCAAGAUCUGUAAAGUUGUCGCCUGGUAGCUGCAUUCAUUACAGGGAUGCCGGAUACCAUCGUGGUUCGACUGAAACAAACAAUCAUCUGUUUUUGUAUUUGUAUAUCGUGUGUUUAUUCUAAAUAUAAAAACGAUUACA
Molecule: long non-coding RNA, 776 nt
Organism: Eurytemora carolleeae
Lineage: Eukaryota; Metazoa; Arthropoda; Copepoda; Calanoida; Temoridae
Exons: 2
Source: RefSeq, a predicted model, not a curated record